This 440-nucleotide ribosomal RNA is filed under the name uncultured bacterium. Its description in RNAcentral is "partial 16S ribosomal RNA". It matches the Rfam family "Bacterial small subunit ribosomal RNA", at positions 338 to 795 of the family's 1533-position model. The record is from RNAcentral.
CCUACGGGGGGCAGCAGUAGGGAAUAUUGCUCAAUGGGGGAAACCCUGAAGCAGCAACGCCGCGUGGAGGAUGAAGGUUUUCGGAUUGUAAACUCCUUUUGUUAGAGAAGAUAAUGACGGUAUCUAACGAAUAAGCACCGGCUAACUCCGUGCCAGCAGCCGCGGUAAUACGGAGGGUGCAAGCGUUACUCGGAAUCACUGGGCGUAAAGAGCGCGUAGGCGGGAUAGCAAGUCAGAUGUGAAAUCCUAUGGCUUAACCAUAGAACUGCAUUUGAAACUGUUAUUCUAGAGUAUGGGAGAGGUAGGUGGAAUUCUUGGUGUAGGGGUAAAAUCCGUAGAGAUCAAGAGGAAUACUCAUUGCGAAGGCGACCUGCUGGAACAUUACUGACGCUGAUGCACGAAAGCGUGGGGAGCAAACAGGAUUAGAUACCCCUGUAGUC